This 776-nucleotide ribosomal RNA is filed under the name Bacillus cereus. RNAcentral describes it as "bacterial SSU rRNA". It matches the Rfam family "Bacterial small subunit ribosomal RNA", at positions 75 to 837 of the family's 1533-position model. The record is from RNAcentral. Lineage: Bacteria; Bacillati; Bacillota; Bacilli; Caryophanales; Bacillaceae.
CUUGCUCUUAUGAAGUUAGCGGCGGACGGGUGAGUAACACGUGGGUAACCUGCCCAUAAGACUGGGAUAACUCCGGGAAACCGGGGCUAAUACCGGAUAACAUUUUGAACCGCAUGGUUCGAAAUUGAAAGGCGGCUUCGGCUGUCACUUAUGGAUGGACCCGCGUCGCAUUAGCUAGUUGGUGAGGUAACGGCUCACCAAGGCAACGAUGCGUAGCCGACCUGAGAGGGUGAUCGGCCACACUGGGACUGAGACACGGCCCAGACUCCUACGGGAGGCAGCAGUAGGGAAUCUUCCGCAAUGGACGAAAGUCUGACGGAGCAACGCCGCGUGAGUGAUGAAGGCUUUCGGGUCGUAAAACUCUGUUGUUAGGGAAGAACAAGUGCUAGUUGAAUAAGCUGGCACCUUGACGGUACCUAACCAGAAAGCCACGGCUAACUACGUGCCAGCAGCCGCGGUAAUACGUAGGUGGCAAGCGUUAUCCGGAAUUAUUGGGCGUAAAGCGCGCGCAGGUGGUUUCUUAAGUCUGAUGUGAAAGCCCACGGCUCAACCGUGGAGGGUCAUUGGAAACUGGGAGACUUGAGUGCAGAAGAGGAAAGUGGAAUUCCAUGUGUAGCGGUGAAAUGCGUAGAGAUAUGGAGGAACACCAGUGGCGAAGGCGACUUUCUGGUCUGUAACUGACACUGAGGCGCGAAAGCGUGGGGAGCAAACAGGAUUAGAUACCCCUGGUAGUCCACGCCGUAAACGAUGAGUGCUAAGUGUUAGAGGGUUUCCGC